UGAGAAGCCAAGAAUUGCAACAGUCCCGCUUGACAUCUGGUGAUGGCCCAGUUCUGAGGGGUAUAAAAGGAACAGUCCUCUGCUGGGGUUCCACAUAGCUCUUAUCCUCCUUCUGGGAUUCCUCUUCAGUCUCUGUCUGAUUGUCUUUUUCUGAACCAAAGAUGGUGGCUACCAAGCUAGAAGAGGACAUAGUUAAACUAAUAGAGAUCUUUCACAAAUACAGCAUAAAUAAGGAGGGCUGGGAUGAACUGAACUUGAAAGAAUUGACCCAGAUCAUUAAGAAUGAGUAUCCUGUUUUCAUUUUAACCUGUAGCUCAGGUGAUCCGGAUGGUUACAUUAAAAAGUAUUUUGAUGAGAAUAAGAAUGCAAACAAUGAAGUCAACUUUAAUGCUUAUAUGAAAAUCAUGGGCAAAAUAGCCAACAUCUACCACAAACGGAGCCAUCAUGAUGAGACCUGUGAUGAUAGGAAAUGAACACUACUGGAUCAUGGUGACGAGAUCCAUGGAUAGAAGGGAUAAGACUAGCCCAUCCUAAAACAAGGAGUUCCUGAGAAUUUGAAUCAAUAAAUCAUCUCCUUUACCUUAUAUU
This is a long non-coding RNA of Monodelphis domestica (gray short-tailed opossum), 588 nucleotides long. RefSeq lists it as uncharacterized. Lineage: Eukaryota; Metazoa; Chordata; Mammalia; Didelphimorphia; Didelphidae. The record is from RefSeq and is a predicted model, not a curated record.